GUGGGGAAUCUUGCGCAAUGGGGGAAACCCUGACGCAGCAACGCCGCGUGGGUGAUGAAGGCCUUCGGGUCGUAAAGCCCUGUCAGGUGGAAAGAAUUGCAUCGGCGUGAACAAUACCGAUGCUUGACGGUACCACCGGAGGAAGCACCGGCUAACUCCGUGCCAGCAGCCGCGGUAAUACGGAGGGUGCAAGCGUUGUUCGGAAUUACUGGGCGUAAAGCGCGUGCAGGCGGUUGGGCAAGUCAGAUGUGAAAGCCUUCCGCUUAACGGAAGAAGUGCAUUUGAAACUACCCAGCUAGAGUUCGGAAGAGGAGAGUGGAAUUCCUGGUGUAGAGGUGAAAUUCGUAGAUAUCAGGAGGAACACCAGUGGCGAAGGCGGCUCUCUGGUCCGAUACUGACGCUGAGAUGCGAAAGCGUGGGGAGCAAACAGGAUUAGAAACCCGAGUAGUCC
This 451-nucleotide ribosomal RNA is filed under the name uncultured bacterium. Its description in RNAcentral is "bacterial SSU rRNA". It matches the Rfam family "Bacterial small subunit ribosomal RNA", at positions 354 to 796 of the family's 1533-position model. The record is from RNAcentral.